Molecule: ribosomal RNA, 380 nt
Filed under: uncultured eukaryote
Lineage: Eukaryota
Description: partial 18S ribosomal RNA
Rfam family: Eukaryotic small subunit ribosomal RNA
Source: RNAcentral
CAAUAGCGUAUAUUAAAGUUGUUGCGGUUAAAAAGCUCGUAGUUGGAUUUCUGCCGAGGACGACCGGUCCGCCCUCUGGGUGAGUAUCUGGCUCGGCCUGGGCAUCUUCUUGGAGAACGUAGCUGCACUUGACUGUGUGGUGCGGUAUCCAGGACUUUUACUUUGAGGAAAUUAGAGUGUUUCAAGCAGGCUUACGCCUUGAAUACAUUAGCAUGGAAUAAUAAGAUAGGACUUCGGUUCUAUUUUGUUGGUUUCUAGAGCUGAGGUAAUGAUUAAUAGGGAUAGUUGGGGGCAUUCGUAUUUAACUGUCAGAGGUGAAAUUCUCGGAUUUGUUAAAGACUAACUUAUGCGAAAGCAUUUGCCAAGGAUGUUUUCAUUAA